This is a long non-coding RNA of Micropterus salmoides (largemouth bass), 1204 nucleotides long. RefSeq lists it as uncharacterized. The record is from RefSeq and is a predicted model, not a curated record. The transcript has 3 exons. NCBI's taxonomy places the organism in Eukaryota, Metazoa, Chordata, Actinopteri, Centrarchiformes, Centrarchidae.
CAAAAUCCCUCCUGCAGUGUGUGUAACAUAGAUGAAAUGAUCUACGUUUAAAAAUAGGAAAAGCCUAUAAAAAUCUGAAUGAGUGAUUUUAUUUUUGAAAUGCAACUUGAGAUUAUCUAAGGAUUUUGAAGGGUUAAAAUUCAGUUACCAGGGCAAAAUGGACCGACAGGUUAAUUUGGCCAAUCAGCUGACAGCAGGUAGGCCCGCCCACCUGCUCCCGCGUCUCUGGGAGCGAGCGAAAGUUUUUUUCCCCCGCUGCUGUGUAUGUGUGGAGAGACAGAAGUGCUACGCUGCUGUAGAGGAUGAACACUGUGAAAACCGGAGAAACCUGGAGAAAAUACAGCUAAAAAAAAACGAACUACACUGAGGCUAACUUCAACACUACAAACGUGUUAGCUAACUGCUGUAAGAAUUUAGUUGUAAGUUCAGUGUUUAGAUAUAGCGCUUGAGACGACUACUAGCAGCGUCGGUAGCUUUGAUGUCCGUAGGAUUUCCCGCGACGCACAGUCUUUGCUGAUUCAAGAGCGAGAAGACCUUGUGACUUUACUGGGCGCCGCCAUUUUGGGUGUGUGUCCAGCCGCUCUGGUGAAAUCGGUGAGAAUGUUCAUUUUCAACUUAAGAAUUUCACUUACUUUGUACCUUAAAUUAUUUAUGUGCACUUAGUGAAUAUGAAGCUACAAUUUUAGUUGAACAAGCUGGUUUACUGUGUUGUUUAAUGUGUAAACUCAGCUUACUUUAUUUUGCACUUGCAUCAAAACUUUAAUUGUUCUAACAUGCAGCUUAUCUGGUUGUGUGCAGCCAAGUUAUUUAUGUUUAUAUGCUGAAUUUUGAGAGAGAGGCACAGAAAGUAAACACCCACAGUAUGUAUAUCAUUGUGUAUUGUGAAUUUCAUGUAGUGUAUAUUAUUGCAUGAGACUUAAGCAGUGAAUAUUUCUCUGACCCUGUCUGUUGACAGGUCAGGUUUUUUUUUUUUUUUUUUUUGUGUGCGCGCGUGUUUCUUCUUCCAUUGUCUGGAUUGGAUCUGCGGAUGAAAACUGAUGGCGAGCCGUCCCUCUUGAAUGAUUGUGGGAGCCAUUCCCUCUUCAGGAUCACUGGACCUGUCCCGCUACUACUGCACUUUGCGAUCAAUCGAUAGUCUGGACUCUGGAGGUGGCUGACGUAUUGCGGUAAGCGUGUCGACUCAUUUCCGUUUCCGGUGCUUGUG